GAUGAAGAACGUAGCAAAAUGCGAUAAGUAAUGUGAAUUGCAGAAUUCAGUGAAUCAUCGAAUCUUUGAACGCACAUUGCGCCCGCCAGUAUUCUGGCGGGCAUGCCUGUUCGAGCGUCAUUUCAACCCUCAAGCACAGCUUGGUGUUGGGACUCGCGUUAAUUCGCGUUCCCCAAAUUGAUUGGCGGUCACGUCGAGCUUCCAUAGCGUAGUAGUAAAACCCUCGUUACUGGUAAUCGUCGCGGCCACGCCGUUAAACCCCAACUUCUGAAAGUGGACCUCGGAUCAGGUAGGAAUACCCGCUGAACUUAAGCAUAUCAAUAAGCGGAGGA
Molecule: unclassified non-coding RNA, 332 nt
Filed under: soil metagenome
Description: partial contains 5.8S ribosomal RNA, internal transcribed spacer 2, and large subunit ribosomal RNA
Rfam family: 5.8S ribosomal RNA (bases 1-120)
Source: RNAcentral